Molecule: ribosomal RNA, 496 nt
Filed under: uncultured bacterium
Lineage: Bacteria
Description: partial 16S ribosomal RNA
Rfam family: Bacterial small subunit ribosomal RNA
Source: RNAcentral
GAUGAACGCUGGCGGCGUGCCUAAUACAUGCCAGUCGAGCGAACAGACGAGGAGCUUGCUCCUCUGACGUUAGCGGCGGACGGGUGAGUAACACGUGGAUAACCUACCUAUAAGACUGGGAUAACUUCGGGAAACCGGAGCUAAUACCGGAUAAUAUAUUGAACCGCAUGGUUCAAUAGUGAAAGACGGUUUUGCUGUCACUUAUAGAUGGAUCCGCGCCGCAUUAGCUAGUUGGUAAGGUAACGGCUUACCAAGGCAACGAUGCGUAGCCGACCUGAGAGGGUGAUCGGCCACACUGGAACUGAGACACGGUCCAGACUCCUACGGGAGGCAGCAGUAGGGAAUUUUCCGCAAGGGGCGAAAGCCUGACGGAGCAACGCCGCGUGAGUGAUGAAGGUCUUCGGAUCGUAAAACUCUGUUAUUAGGGAAGAACAAAUGUGUAAGUAACUAUGCACGUCUUGACGGUACCAAAUCAGAAAGCCACGGCUAACUACGU